CGAGCGCACCCACAUCCUUAGUUGCCAGCAGUUCGGCUGGGCACUCUAGGGAAACUGCCCGUGAUAAGCGGGAGGAAGGUGUGGAUGACGUCAAGUCCUCAUGGCCCUUACGGGUUGGGCUACACACGUGCUACAAUGGUAGUGACAAUGGGUUAAUCCCCAAAAACUAUCUCAGUUCGGAUUGGGGUCUGCAACUCGACCCCAUGAAGUCGGAAUCGCUAGUAAUCGCGUAACAGCAUGACGCGGUGAAUACGUUCCCGGGCCUU
Molecule: ribosomal RNA, 266 nt
Filed under: alpha proteobacterium enrichment culture clone otu_A4
Lineage: Bacteria; Pseudomonadati; Pseudomonadota; Alphaproteobacteria
Description: partial 16S ribosomal RNA
Rfam family: Bacterial small subunit ribosomal RNA
Source: RNAcentral